GAGUUUGAUCAUGGCUCAGGAUGAACGCUGGCGGUGCGCCUGACACAUGCAAGUCGGACGGGAGCGAGAGGCUCCAGUGGCGAACGGGUGCGUAACACGUGAGAACUUGCCCCGAGGAGGGGAACAACCCUCGGAAACGGGGGCUAAUGUCCCGUAAGUCGAGCCCUGAUAAAGACCGGGGCGGGAGCCCAACGGCUCCCGAAACAAAAGGCAGGGGCGCAAGAAACCCGCCCUGCCGCCUCGGGAUAGGCUCGCGGCUGAUUAGCUAGCUGGGAGGGUAACGGCCUACCAGGGCGACGAUCAGUAGCUGGCUUGAGAGAGUGGCCAGCCACACUGGGACUGAGAUACGGCCCAGACUCCUACGGGAGGCAGCAGUGGGGAAUCUUCCGCAAUGGGCGCGAAGCCUGACGGAGCGACACCGCGUGGGGGAAGAAGGACUGGGGUUCGUAAACCCCUUUUCCCGGGGGCGACAGCAGACGGUACCCGGGGAAUAAGCAUCGGCUAACUCCGUGCCAGCAGCCGCGGUAAUACGGGGGAUGCAAGCGUUAUCCGGAAUUAUUGGGCGUAAAGCGCCUGCAGGUGGCCCGCCAAGUCCCCUGUCAAAGGCCGGGGCUUAACCCCGGAAAGGCGGCGGAAACUGUCGGGCUAGAGGGCGGCUGGGGUAGAGGGAACUCCUAGUGAAGCGGUGAAAUGCGCAGAUAUUAGGAAGAACACCGGCGGCGAAGGCGCUCUACUGGGCCGUCGGGCGCUCAGAGCGCCCACGUCGUGCGGGCACGCGGUUCGCCCCGUCGUGCCCGGCGAUCGGCUGACACUCAGAGGCGAAAGCUGGGGGAGCGAGACGGAUUAGGUACCCGUGUAGGCCCAGCCGUAAACGAUGGACAUUGGAAGUCGGACUCCCCCAGGGGCUGGUCGGUUUCGAAGCUAACGCGUUAAAUGUCCCGCCUGGGGAGUACGCCCGCAAGGGUGAAACUCAAAGGAAUUGACGGGGGCCCGCACAAGCGGUGGAGCAUGUGGUUUAAUUCGAUGCGACGCGAAGAACCUUACCAGGGAUUGCAUGUGGUGACCGCUCCCCGGCUCCCGCCACUUUCCCGGCCGAGCCGAGAGAACGGGAAGACGUCCACACAGGUGGUGCAUGGCUGUCGUCAACUCGUGUCGUGAAAUGUUGGGUUGAGUCCCGCAACGAGCGCAACUCUCGUCCUCAGUUACCUCGCGCAGGCCCCGCGCCCCGGCAAGGGGCCCAAGGACGGAGGUUGUGCGAAAACUGCGGAAACCGCUGGCAACAAGCUGGAGGAAGGUGAGGACGACGUCAAGUCAUCAUGCCCCCGAUACCCUGGGCCACACACGUGCUACAUUGGCCGAGACAAUAGGAGGCGGCCGAGAGGCCAGCCAAACCCCAAACCCGGUCCCAGUUCGAAUCGCGGGCUGCAACUCGCCCGCGUGAAGUAGGAAUCGCUAGUAAUCGCUGGUCAGCCACACAGCGGUGAAUACGUUCCCGGGCCUUGUACACACCGCCCGUCACACCAUGGAAGUUGGUCGCACCCGAAAACGGGGUCCCGCAUCCCUCCGCGUAGCGGACGGGGAGGGGCGCCCCGACUAAGGCGGGAAGAGCAACCAGGGUGAAGUCGUAACAAGGUAACC
Molecule: ribosomal RNA, 1638 nt
Filed under: uncultured marine eukaryote
Lineage: Eukaryota
Description: partial 16S ribosomal RNA
Rfam family: Bacterial small subunit ribosomal RNA
Source: RNAcentral